This 968-nucleotide non-coding RNA is filed under the name Trichomonas vaginalis G3. RNAcentral describes it as "Eukaryotic large subunit ribosomal RNA". It matches the Rfam family "Eukaryotic large subunit ribosomal RNA", at positions 1824 to 2998 of the family's 3401-position model. Lineage: Eukaryota; Parabasalia; Trichomonadida; Trichomonadidae. The record is from Rfam by way of RNAcentral.
AAUAGUUUACUGUGUCACUCGUACCGAUAACCGCAUCAGGUCUUCUAGGUAAGUAGCCUAUGGCCAUUGAGGCAUGAUAGUUCAGGGAAUUCGGCCAAUUAGAGCUGUAACUUCGGGAUAAAGCUUGGCUCUGAUGAAAAUCAGAACCGAUUGUUACGCGGAGAGCCCAACUGUUUAAUAAAAACGUAGUGUCGCGCUGUGGUAGUAUAGCCAGUGAACGCGACAUGAAUCCUGCUCAGUGCUGUGUCUGUUAAUAUGGUUCAAGCCAACGAAGCACCGGUAAAUAGCUGGGGUAACUAUGACUCUUAUCAAAGUAGCGAAAUACCUCGUCACUUAAUUAGUGACCUGCAUGAACGGAGCUAUGAGGUUCUCACUGUCCCAAACUGUCUCUCAGCGAACCAACUGUAGUGGGAACGGUCACUAGAUAUCCAGCGGGGAAAGAAGACCCUGUAGAGCUUCACUUUGGUCUAGUCUUGUAUAGUUCCUGCGGGGGUGUAGACUAGGUGGGAGAGCAAUCGAUUCUGAAAAACCACUACCCUGUUUGGAAUUAUGCUUACCUAUCACAAGGAAUAGGACUAGAUAGAAAGUUUGGCUGGGGCGGCACACCUUCGAAAGAGCAGCGAAGGUGUCCUAAGUUGAGCUCAGUGAGGACAGAAAUCUCACGUUGAGGAUAAGGCCAAAAGCUCAAUUUACUGUGCCUUUUUGUACUAGGAUCAGUUACGAAAGUAAGGCCUAACGAUCCCUAAAUAGCCUCAGGUGCGUGAGGAUUGGGGUGACAGACAAGUUACCUCCGGGACAACUGGCUUGUGGCUGCUAAGAGAUCAAAUCAACGCAGCUUUUUGAUUCUUCGAUGUCGGGCUCUUCCUAUCCUAGUGAUGUACAAGUUGCUAAGGGUCGGAUUGUUCACCCGUAUUAGGGAUCGUGAGCUGGGUUUAGACCGUCGUGAGCCAGGUUUGUUUUAUCCUACU